CCGCCGGCGACCGGCGCACGGGUGAGUAACACGUAUGCAACCUGCCCCUGUCAGGGGGACAACCCGCCGAAAGGCGGGCUAAACCCGCGUACAUGCCACCGGGGCAUCCCGGAGGCAGGAAAGGCUUCGGCCGGACAGGGAUGGGCAUGCGGCGCAUUAGGCAGUAGGCGGGGUAACGGCCCACCUAACCGACGAUGCGUAGGGGUUCUGAGAGGAAGGUCCCCCACACUGGUGCUGAGACACGGACCAGACUCCUACGGGAGGCAGCAG
Molecule: ribosomal RNA, 270 nt
Filed under: uncultured bacterium
Lineage: Bacteria
Description: partial 16S ribosomal RNA
Rfam family: Bacterial small subunit ribosomal RNA
Source: RNAcentral